AUUAACAUUUGACCAUUCCUCUUAUUUGAAAAAAACUUUACGAUUAAUAUUUUUGUUCUUACUGGAUAAUAAAACAUAAAUAAUACUUUAUGCGUAACUAAUUUUUUAAAGUUUUUAUAUAAAUUUUUCAAAUAAGACGAAUGGUUAAACGUUGGACACGGAAA
RNAcentral lists this microRNA precursor (164 nucleotides) under Oryza brachyantha (malo sina). Its description in RNAcentral is "MIR812 microRNA precursor family". It matches the Rfam family "MIR812 microRNA precursor family", at positions 27 to 187 of the family's 205-position model. The record is from Rfam by way of RNAcentral. Lineage: Eukaryota; Viridiplantae; Streptophyta; Magnoliopsida; Poales; Poaceae.